AAAAAAAAAAAAAAAAACAACCCUCAAACAAAACUGUAAACGAAAUGAAAGAAGUGGAGGCAACUUCAAGCUUCAGUUUACUAUAAUACACAAAUUUGAUCAGCUUAAUAUGUGACUCAGAGGAUAUACUGAGUGAAAAGACAUGGCAAUGUCCUGGAAAAACUGGAAAUACACUCUUUUGGCAUCUGAGUGGAUGUGGGACAUAGAGUACUCCUUGAGUAUUUAUUUACUUUGCAUGUAUUGUUUUGAUGCAGAGAGAUGCAUCCACUUAGCAUGACUGUCUUGUUCCCAGAUGAGACAAGGACCAGGUUUUCAAGCAAUGUGAAAGAGGCAAAUGUCCAUGUGCCUCUUCUGGCCUGUCUUCAGCCAGAGCACUGAGAUUUUUAGGGAAGAUAUGGAAGAAGAAAGAAGUACUGUUGCUACAGGAUGCACUCCAGCUGGAAUAAUGUAAGUUUUUAGGCAUGCAAGCUCUUCCUUAGCAACUUUUUCAUCCUAUAAACCUUACAGUCCAUUGUGGCUUCAACCACAUCCAUUUUACACGUAGUCUCAUGGCCAAAGCAAUACUUAGUGAAAAGAAUUAAAAUUAUUCCUGGCUCUGGCUUUGUUUUGGCUGAAAAUAUGUCUGUGUUUUGAAUUUUUUAGACUGAAGUUACUGAACUCCCUUGUAGAUAUAUUUAAAAAUGUGAUGGAUAGUUACCUUUAAUGUACAAUAGGGGUCACUUAUAGGAAUUUAAUCUUGAAUUCAGGUUAUGAGAGUUCAUCACUUUUUGUUCAGAGCUGAAACUCCUGGAUCUCAUUAGAUGAAUCUCUGACUCUCACUGAAAUAGCCAUUGCUCCAUAAUUUGCUGAAUUUAGUUAUAUUCUGUUGUUUUUGUAAUACAUCACUCUUACCAAUGUGCAUUUCUGUUUGGUCUUGAAGCAAAUUUCUUUCCUGCAUAGAAGGUAUUGCUAAAACAUGCCAGAAAGACAAAGUGUUUCUCUCAUUUAAACCCAGUCCUUGAGUUUUUAGAGCUGUUAGAGGAGUUGCAUGGGGCCCUUCUCUGCGCAGAUACCUCCUGUACUCUUUCUAUUACUUUUUCUUUAAUUCCACUAAAACAUCUUUUUCACUAUCCUAGAGUUGUCAGUCAUGUGAGCAGCCUACCUGACUUCAAAGCAACAUUUUGAAAAGGAAAAAGUUAUUUGAAUGGUGAAGUGAUGUAAAUUAGCCUUGUGAAGAGUGAUGUUGUUUUUUGUCCCUUUCUGUUAAUUCUGAAGUGCAUAUACUUUAGCACUGAGGAACCAUUUUAUCUGAUACAUGCUAAGAUUGUCAUCUGUACUAUAUCACAUACAAUGUGUGUUUACUUAGGUAUUUUUUCCUUCAUUUUUCUUCAGAAAAUAUGUGCCUAUAUCUGUACAGCUCUGCGAGCUGACAUUUCUUUCUAAACAGCUAUGUGAAGAAUUUGUUUAAAUUUUCCACCUUUUUUUUUUUUUACCUUAUCCCUUUAAGAAUGAUUCUCCAUAAUCCCUAUUCUGUUCUUCA
This is a long non-coding RNA of Lagopus muta (rock ptarmigan), 1519 nucleotides long. RefSeq lists it as uncharacterized. The transcript is spliced from 3 exons. The record is from RefSeq and is a predicted model, not a curated record. NCBI's taxonomy places the organism in Eukaryota, Metazoa, Chordata, Aves, Galliformes, Phasianidae.